This 651-nucleotide ribosomal RNA is filed under the name uncultured bacterium. RNAcentral's name for it is "bacterial SSU rRNA". The stretch from base 1 to 544 matches the Rfam family "Bacterial small subunit ribosomal RNA", at positions 338 to 873 of the family's 1533-position model. The record is from RNAcentral.
CCUACGGGAGGCAGCAGUAAGGAAUAUUGGUCAAUGGAGGCAACUCUGAACCAGCCAUGCCGCGUGCAGGAAGACGGCCCUAUGGGUUGUAAACUGCUUUUGAACUAGAGAAAACCUUGGUACGUGUACCGAGUUGAUAGUAUAGUUAGAAUAAGCAUCGGCUAACUUCGUGCCAGCAGCCGCGGUAAGACGAAGGAUGCAAGCGUUAUCCGGAUUCAUUGGGUUUAAAGGGUGCGUAGGCGGACUGAUAAGUCAGUGGUGAAAUCUCUCAGCUUAACUGAGAAACUGCCAUUGAUACUGUUAGUCUAGAGUACAGAUGAUGUGGGCGGAAUAUGACAUGUAGUGGUGAAAUACUUAGAUAUGUCAUAGAACACCGAUUGCGAAGGCAGCUCACAAAACUGUAACUGACGCUGAGGCACGAAAGUGCGGGGAUCAAACAGGAUUAGAUACCCUGGUAGUCCGCACCGUAAACGAUGAUUACUCGUUGUUGGCGAUAUGACAGUCGAGCGACCGACGACGAACGAACGUAGUAAGUUAAGUUACCGUACCGUUAGGGGUUAGGUACCGGCCGGCCGGACCGGUACGGAACGUUACGAAGGAAGUUAGGACGGCGAGGAGACGACGACGACGGACGACGACGAGGGAGGUAGG